AUUACUUUUUGCCCAUGGCCUCUUGCCAUGCAUUCAUUGGCUUGUCGAAGCUACAAGAGCACUAGCAGAGCAACAAGAGGAAGCCUGCAGCCACGCUCCUCCUGGAUCUCCUCACGAUGGGUUCGCAUCGUCACCGCAGCGCAGGGCAAUGCAGCCUCGUGCAGCCGCCACGCCUCAUCACCUGCCUUCUCCUACUGCUGCUUCUGCUUCUGUCGCCACCGGCGCUCCCGUGCUCGGCGUCGUCGUCGUCGUCGUCGUCGUCGGUGAUCACUCACCUCCCGGGAUUCCAUGGUCGCCUGCCGUUCUACCUCGAGACUGGAUAUAUUGGUAUCGAGGAGAAGACUGGCACUGAGCUCUUCUACUACUUCGUUGAAUCAGAGACGAACCCUGACACGGACCCUUUGGUAUUGUGGCUGGUGGGUGGGCCCCGUUGUUCGGCCUUCUCUGGCUUAGCCUACGAAGUAGGUCCUUUGAAUUUUGUGUUGGAAGCUUAUAAUGGUAGUUUGCCAAGAUUGGUUUAUAAUCAGUAUUCAUGGACACAGAUGGCAAGCAUAAUUUUUUUGGAUAGUCCUGUCGGUUCUGGUUUCUCAUACGCACGUGAUUCCAAUGGUUACGAUGUUGGGGAUAUAUCAUCUUCUUUACAAGUGGUCACAUUUAUGAAGGAGUGGCUCAAUGAUCACCCACGCUACCGCUCACAUAAUUUCUAUGUUGGUGGAGCCUCAUAUGCUGGAAAGGUGGUUCCAGUUAUCGUGCAAUACAUUUCAGAAGCAAUUGAAGAACAAAGGCAACGACCAUUGAUUGAUCUUAAGUUACAGGGAUAUAUAGUUGGCAACCCCAUAACAGGUUCGAAAUUCGAUAAAAAUUUCCAUGUUCCCUAUUCUCAUGGCGUUGGAAUUAUAUCUGAUCAAUUAUAUGAGGCUGCGGUAACGCAUUGCAAAGGAGAUUUUGUGAACCCAACAAACCAAUUGUGUGCUAACGUCGUAUAUACUAUUAAUAAACUCAUGUCUGAAGUUUCGGAUGGAAAUAUCUUGGAGGAUAAAUGUGUUAAAGCUGCACCAAAACCUACAAUAGAUGUUUCAGCAAGCAGGGCACUGCUGGAAGAAUACAGCCGGCUAAGCAAGCCACCUAUUCGACCUUCUAUGGAUUGCGCUUCAUAUGGUUACUACCUAUCAUACUGCUGGAUGAAUGACAAUACGACUAGAGAUGCUCUUAAGAUCAAGAAGGGAACCAUUGGUGAGUGGUUAAGAUGAAAUAGAGGUGUAUUUCCCUAUGCUAAAGACAUCCCAAACGCCUUGGAUUACCAUUUUAAUCUCACCACAAGAGGUUACCGAGCACUUGUGAUGAGCGGUGACCAUGAUCUCAAGGUGCCAUUUUUGAGCACUCAGGCAUGGAUAAGAUCCUUUAACUUCUUCAUAGUUGAUGACUGGAGAGCAUGGCAUGUGGAUGGCCAAGCUGCUGGAUUCACAAUUACGUAUGCCAACAACUUGACCUUUGCCACAGUAAAGGGUGGUUCCCAUGUCGCUACAGUAAACAGGCCUAAAUAAUCUUUCGCCAUGGGGAAACGGUGGCUAGCCAAUAAGCCUCUAUGAUGUUGCCAGCUCCUAUUUGUCAGAAAUGUUUGCAGGGUUUUAACUCAACCAUGUGUCUGCUGUCCAAGUGCCAUGGUUCUCGAAAAAAUACUAUUUGUAAUGGAGCCCAUAUAAAUAGUGUUCUCUUCUGCCGAAAGGCAGGUUUCACUUAAAGUGAAAUGGAAAACACAAUAGUUAUAUAUUAAUUUCUCUCGAAAAAAUUUGAUCCCUACUACACAUCCAUUGGGUUCUAUUUAUAGGUUUACAAAAAUAGUGUUCUCUUCUGCCGAAAGACAGGUUUCACUUAAAGUGAAGUGGAAAGCACAAUAGUUGUAUAUUAACUUCUCUCGAAAAAAUGUGUUCCCUAUUGC
RNA transcript from Oryza sativa Japonica Group (Japanese rice), 1939 nucleotides. It is a transcript of the gene named serine carboxypeptidase-like 2, with no coding region annotated. NCBI's taxonomy places the organism in Eukaryota, Viridiplantae, Streptophyta, Magnoliopsida, Poales, Poaceae. The record is from RefSeq and is a predicted model, not a curated record.